AUACCUUUCUCGGCCUUUUGGCUCAGAUCAUGUGUAGUAUCUGUUCUUAUUAGCUCUUUCCGUCGCACUCCUGCGACUUAUUCUAGCCCUGUACGGUCCAGCCGUACACACCAA
Molecule: small nuclear RNA, 114 nt
Filed under: Volvox carteri f. nagariensis
Lineage: Eukaryota; Viridiplantae; Chlorophyta; Chlorophyceae; Chlamydomonadales; Volvocaceae
Description: U2 spliceosomal RNA
Rfam family: U2 spliceosomal RNA
About the family: U2 is a small nuclear RNA (snRNA) component of the spliceosome (involved in pre-mRNA splicing). Complementary binding between U2 snRNA (in an area lying towards the 5' end but 3' to hairpin I) and the branchpoint sequence (BPS) of the intron results the bulging out of an unpaired adenosine, on the BPS, which initiates a nucleophilic attack at the intronic 5' splice site, thus starting the first of two transesterification reactions that mediate splicing.
Source: Rfam by way of RNAcentral